AAUAUUCUUCCAUUUCAAAGAAUCAGCAAGAUGACGAAGUAGUCCAUCACAUUUUCUAUUAUCUGCAUGCCACCUAAGGUUUUUAGUGUCAUCUGCAUUUGCAAACAAACGCUUAAGCCUUGGAAUUAUUGGAAGAUACCAAACAACCUUAGCAGGAGGACCUUCCUUUGUGAAUUCAUCAAUUUCAUCAUUCUGACCAACUUUAACCUUAUAACGUGACAAACCACACCUGGGACAUCUUCUUAAAUCUUCAUACUCAUUUCUGUAUAAAAUACAAUCGUUAGGACAUGAAUGUAUUUUUC
Molecule: long non-coding RNA, 302 nt
Filed under: Phaseolus vulgaris (common bean)
Lineage: Eukaryota; Viridiplantae; Streptophyta; Magnoliopsida; Fabales; Fabaceae
Description: long non-coding RNA (PVUL_LNC000586)
Source: RNAcentral